RNAcentral lists this ribosomal RNA (432 nucleotides) under Novosphingobium capsulatum. RNAcentral's name for it is "bacterial SSU rRNA". It matches the Rfam family "Bacterial small subunit ribosomal RNA", at positions 29 to 506 of the family's 1533-position model. Lineage: Bacteria; Pseudomonadati; Pseudomonadota; Alphaproteobacteria; Sphingomonadales; Sphingomonadaceae. The record is from RNAcentral.
AACGAACGCUGGCGGCAUGCCUAACACAUGCAAGUCGAACGAACCCUUCGGGGUUAGUGGCGCACGGGUGCGUAACGCGUGGGAAUCUGCCCUUUGCUUCGGAAUAACAGUUAGAAAUGACUGCUAAUACCGGAUGAUGUCUUCGGACCAAAGAUUUAUCGGCAAAGGAUGAGCCCGCGUAGGAUUAGGUAGUUGGUGGGGUAAAGGCCUACCAAGCCGACGAUCCUUAGCUGGUCUGAGAGGAUGAUCAGCCACACUGGGACUGAGACACGGCCCAGACUCCUACGGGAGGCAGCAGUGGGGAAUAUUGGACAAUGGACGCAAGUCUGAUCCAGCAAUGCCGCGUGAGUGAUGAAGGCCUUAGGGUUGUAAAGCUCUUUUACCAGGGAUGAUAAUGACAGUACCUGGAGAAUAAGCUCCGGCUAACUCCGU